This 253-nucleotide ribosomal RNA is filed under the name uncultured bacterium. Its description in RNAcentral is "partial 16S ribosomal RNA". It matches the Rfam family "Bacterial small subunit ribosomal RNA", at positions 524 to 776 of the family's 1533-position model. The record is from RNAcentral.
UACGGAGGGUGCAAGCGUUGUUCGGAAUCAUUGGGCGUAAAGAGCGUGUAGGCGGUCAGGUAAGUCAGAUGUGAAAGCCCUGGGCUCAACCCAGGAAGUGCAUUUGAAACUACCUAACUUGAGUACGGGAGAGGAAGGGGGAAUUCCCGGUGUAGAGGUGAAAUUCGUAGAUAUCGGGAGGAAUACCGGUGGCGAAGGCGCCCUUCUGGACCGAUACUGACGCUGAGACGCGAAAGCGUGGGUAGCAAACAGG